GACGAACGCUGGCGGCGUGCUUAACACAUGCAAGUCGAACGAAGAGCGAUGGAAUCUUGCUUCUAUCAAUCUUAGUGGCGAACGGGUGAGUAACGCGUAAUCAACCUGCCCUUCAGAGGGGGACAACAGUUGGAAACGACUGCUAAUACCGCAUACGAUCUAAUCUCGGCAUCGAGGAUAGAUGAAAGGUGGCCUCUACAUGUAAGCUAUCACUGAAGGAGGGGAUUGCGUCUGAUUAGCUAGUUGGAGGGGUAACGGCCCACCAAGGCGAUGAUCAGUAGCCGGUCUGAGAGGAUGAACGGCCACAUUGGGACUGAGACACGGCCCAGACUCCUACGGGAGGCAGCAGUGGGGAAUCUUCCGCAAUGGACGAAAGGCUGACGGAGCAACGCCGCGUGAGUGAUGACGGCCUUCGGGUUGUAAAGCUCGGUUAAUCGGGACGAAAGGCCUUCUUGCGAAUAGUGAGAAGGAUUGACGGUACCGGAAUAGAAAGCCACGGCUAACUACGUG
RNAcentral lists this ribosomal RNA (510 nucleotides) under uncultured bacterium. RNAcentral's name for it is "partial 16S ribosomal RNA". It matches the Rfam family "Bacterial small subunit ribosomal RNA", at positions 28 to 507 of the family's 1533-position model. The record is from RNAcentral.